GGGAAUUAUCAUGAAAACUAAGGAUUGCGAUUACAAUUCAAGUAAUAAUCAAGGAAAAUGAAAAUCUAAAAGGAAAAAUAAACAAGAAAGAUCACUCAAAAGAGGAGAGAAGAGAAAGAAAAACAGACUUGGAUCAAGAGAAAUUGAGAGAUCUGAGAAUGAGAGAGUCGACAGAAGAGAGAAGCAGACUCUUGUGAUCCUUAUUCCAUUUUAUCUUCGCUUAUGUAUUCAUUAUAUACACAAAAAUACAAAGAGAAUAGAGAGCGGAG
This 269-nucleotide unclassified non-coding RNA is filed under the name Hevea brasiliensis (rubber tree). The record is from RNAcentral. Lineage: Eukaryota; Viridiplantae; Streptophyta; Magnoliopsida; Malpighiales; Euphorbiaceae.